Molecule: ribosomal RNA, 263 nt
Filed under: uncultured bacterium
Lineage: Bacteria
Description: partial 16S ribosomal RNA
Rfam family: Bacterial small subunit ribosomal RNA
Source: RNAcentral
AUGGCCUACGGGGGGCAGCAGUGAGGAAUAUUGGUCAAUGGGCGGGAGCCUGAACCAGCCAAGUCGCGUGAGGGAAGACGGUCCUAUGGAUUGUAAACCUCUUUAGGCGGGGAGCAAUGCCGGGCACGCGUGCCCGGAGGGAGAGUACCCGCAGAAUAAGCAUCGGCUAACUCCGUGCCAGCAGCCGCGGUAAUACGGAGGAUGCGAGCGUUAUCCGGAUUUAUUGGGCGUAAAGCGAGUGCAGGCGGUUCAAUAAGGCUGAU